AAGUCGUAACAAGGUAACCGUAGGUGAACCUGCGGUUGGAUCAUUAACAAAAUCCAAUAAAAGAGCUAGGGGUAACAGCCUAGCUUUUUUAAACCACUGUGAACUGUUUAAUGUUGGUGCAAACCAGCAGUAUUUUACACAAGUCGUCUAUAAAAGUUUAUUUAAAUUAAAAAACAACUUUUGGCAACGGAUCUCUAGGCUCUU
RNAcentral lists this unclassified non-coding RNA (204 nucleotides) under fungal sp. RNAcentral's name for it is "partial internal transcribed spacer region". The stretch from base 1 to 46 matches the Rfam family "Eukaryotic small subunit ribosomal RNA", at positions 1786 to 1831 of the family's 1831-position model. The record is from RNAcentral. Lineage: Eukaryota; Fungi.